AGCGGCGGACGGGUGAGUAACACGGGGGCAACCUGCCUGUAAGACUGGGAUAACUUCGGGAAACCGGAGCUAAUACCGGAUAAUCCUUUUCCUCUCAUGAGGAAAAGCUGAAAGACGGUUUCGGCUGUCACUUACAGAUGGGCCCGCGGCGCAUUAGCUAGUUGGUGAGGUAACGGCUCACCAAGGCGACGAUGCGUAGCCGACCUGAGAGGGUGAUCGGCCACACUGGGACUGAGACACGGCCCAGACUCCUACGGGAGGCAGCAGUAGGGAAUCUUCCGCAAUGGACGAAAGUCUGACGGAGCAACGCCGCGUGAGCGAAGAAGGCCUUCGGGUCGUAAAGCUCUGUUGUUAGGGAAGAACAAGUAUCGGAGUAACUGCCGGUACCUUGACGGUACCUAACCAGAAAGCCACGGCUAACUACGUGCCAGCAGCCGCGGUAAUACGUAGGUGGCAAGCGUUGUCCGGAAUUAUUGGGCGUAAAGCGCGCGCAGGCGGUUCCUUAAGUCUGAUGUGAAAGCCCCCGGCUCAACCGGGGAGGGUCAUUGGAAACUGGGGAACUUGAGUGCAGAAGAGAAGAGCGGAAUUCCACGUGUAGCGGUGAAAUGCGUAGAGAUGUGGAGGAACACCAGUGGCGAAGGCGGCUCUUUGGUCUGUAACUGACGCUGAGGCGCGAAAGCGUGGGGAGCGAACAGGAUUAGAUACCCUGGUAGUCCACGCC
Molecule: ribosomal RNA, 721 nt
Filed under: uncultured bacterium
Lineage: Bacteria
Description: bacterial SSU rRNA
Rfam family: Bacterial small subunit ribosomal RNA
Source: RNAcentral